GCUUCUUUUUCCACCGGAGCUUGCUCCACCGGAAAAAGAGGAGUGGCGAACGGGUGAGUAACACGUGGGUAACCUGCCCAUCAGAAGGGGAUAACACUUGGAAACAGGUGCUAAUACCGUAUAACAAUCGAAACCGCAUGGUUUUGAUUUGAAAGGCGCUUUACGGUGCCGCUGAUGGAUGGACCCGCGGUGCAUUAGCUAGUUGGUGAGGUAACGGCUCACCAAGGCCACGAUGCAUAGCCGACCUGAGAGGGUGAUCGGCCACAUUGGGACUGAGACACGGCCCAAACUCCUACGGGAGGCAGCAGUAGGGAAUCUUCGGCAAUGGACGAAAGUCUGACCGAGCAACGCCGCGUGAGUGAAGAAGGUUUUCGGAUCGUAAAACUCUGUUGUUAGAGAAGAACAAGGAUGAGAGUAACUGUUCAUCCCUUGACGGUAUCUAACCAGAAAGCCACGGCUAACUACGUGCCAGCAGCCGCGGUAAUACGUAGGUGGCAAGCGUUGUCCGGAUUUAUUGGGCGUAAAGCGAGCGCAGGCGGUUUCUUAAGUCUGAUGUGAAAGCCCCCGGCUCAACCGGGGAGGGUCAUUGGAAACUGGGAGACUUGAGUGCAGAAGAGGAGAGUGGAAUUCCAUGUGUAGCGGUGAAAUGCGUAGAUAUAUGGAGGAACACCAGUGGCGAAGGCGGCUCUCUGGUCUGUAACUGACGCUGAGGCUCGAAAGCGUGGGGAGCAAACAGGAUUAGAUACCCUGGUAGUCCACGCCGUAAACGAUGAGUGCUAAGUGUUGGAGGGUUUCCGCCCUUCAGUGCUGCAGCUAACGCAUUAAGCACUCCGCCUGGGGAGUACGACCGCAAGGUUGAAACUCAAAGGAAUUGACGGGGGCCCGCACAAGCGGUGGAGCAUGUGGUUUAAUUCGAAGCAACGCGAAGAACCUUACCAGGUCUUGACAUCCUUUGACCACUCUAGAGAUAGAGCUUCCCCUUCGGGGGCAAAGUGACAGGUGGUGCAUGGUUGUCGUCAGCUCGUGUCGUGAGAUGUUGGGUUAAGUCCCGCAACGAGCGCAACCCUUAUUGUUAGUUGCCAUCAUUUAGUUGGGCACUCUAGCAAGACUGCCGGUGACAAACCGGAGGAAGGUGGGGAUGACGUCAAAUCAUCAUGCCCCUUAUGACCUGGGCUACACACGUGCUACAAUGGGAAGUACAACGAGUCGCGAAGUCGCGAGGCUAAGCUAAUCUCUUAAAGCUUCUCUCAGUUCGGAUUGUAGGCUGCAACUCGCCUACAUGAAGCCGGAAUCGCUAGUAAUCGCGGAUCAGCACGCCGCGGUGAAUACGUUCCCGGGCCUUGUACACACCGCCCGUCACACCACGAGAGUUUGUAACACCCGAAGUCGGUGAGGUAA
RNAcentral lists this ribosomal RNA (1398 nucleotides) under Lactococcus lactis. Its description in RNAcentral is "bacterial SSU rRNA". It matches the Rfam family "Bacterial small subunit ribosomal RNA", at positions 68 to 1438 of the family's 1533-position model. Lineage: Bacteria; Bacillati; Bacillota; Bacilli; Lactobacillales; Streptococcaceae. The record is from RNAcentral.